Empidonax traillii (willow flycatcher) is the source of this 145-nucleotide long non-coding RNA. RefSeq lists it as uncharacterized. The transcript is spliced from 3 exons. NCBI's taxonomy places the organism in Eukaryota, Metazoa, Chordata, Aves, Passeriformes, Tyrannidae. The record is from RefSeq and is a predicted model, not a curated record.
GACAACCCCACUGCCAUGAGCAGCUAAUCAAACAGGAUGUUUAUUUCAGAUUCAUGAGCUCACUUUGAACUGGAAGAGACUUUAGCACUGGUCCAUGUGACAUCUGCUUGUGUCAAUGACAGAUGAAAAAUGACAGAAGAGAUAC